RNAcentral lists this ribosomal RNA (492 nucleotides) under uncultured bacterium. RNAcentral's name for it is "partial 16S ribosomal RNA". It matches the Rfam family "Bacterial small subunit ribosomal RNA", at positions 29 to 507 of the family's 1533-position model. The record is from RNAcentral.
AGUGAACGCUGGCGGUAGGCCUAACACAUGCAAGUCGAACGGCAGCACAGUAAGAGCUUGCUCUUACGGGUGGCGAGUGACGGACGGGUGAGGAAUACAUCGGAAUCUACUUUUUCGUGGGGGAUAACGUAGGGAAACUUACGCUAAUACCGCAUACGACCUACGGGUGAAAGCAGGGGAUCUUCGGACCUUGCGCGAUUGAAUGAGCCGAUGUCGGAUUAGCUAGUUGGCGGGGUAAAGGCCCACCAAGGCGACGAUCCGUAGCUGGUCUGAGAGGAUGAUCAGCCACACUGGAACUGAGACACGGUCCAGACUCCUACGGGAGGCAGCAGUGGGGAAUAUUGGACAAUGGGCGCAAGCCUGAUCCAGCCAUACCGCGUGGGUGAAGAAGGCCUUCGGGUUGUAAAGCCCUGUUGUUGGGAAAGAAAAGCAGCAGGUUAAUACCCCGCUGUUCUGACGGUACCCAAAGAAUAAGCACCGGCUAACUUCGUG